This 324-nucleotide ribosomal RNA is filed under the name uncultured eukaryote. RNAcentral's name for it is "partial 18S ribosomal RNA". It matches the Rfam family "Eukaryotic small subunit ribosomal RNA", at positions 1470 to 1796 of the family's 1831-position model. The record is from RNAcentral.
CCCUUAGAUGUUCUGGGCUGCACGCGCGCUACACUGAAGCUAUCAACACGUUUUCCCUCCCUGAGAAGGGCGGGUAACCUUUUGAAUCAGCUUCGUGGUAGGGAUCGGGGCUUGCAAUUGUUCCCCGUGAACCAGGCAUUCCUAGUAGACGCGAGUCAUAAGCUCGCAUCGAUUAAGUCCCUGCCCUUUGUACACACCGCCCGUCGCUACUACCGAUUGAACGUUUUAGUGAGGCAUUUGGACCGACGCAUCUCAGUUUAACCGCUGGUUUGUGUUGGAAAGACUUCCAAACUUGAGCGUUUAGAGGAAGUAAAAGUCGUAACA